CCCACCCCUCCCCGCCCCUCCACCUUCCCAGCCCGCCUCUUGCCUCCGCCCCGCUCCGGGCGCUCGAAGCCCCGCCCCGGGCACGUACAGCUGCGAGACAAGCACGUACCAUUUAAAUAAUGGCGCCAAGCCGCGAGGUUUGACAGUUACUGCCCCCACGGCCUCCCAGCCCCCCAUCCUCGCUCGGCCAGCCCUCCCGGGAAGGGCCGGAGCGAGAGGGAUGCUGGCCUGAGCCCCAUCUCUCCGCAGUCCGCGGAAUGCUUCUGCAUAGCUUCGACGCCUACGGUCACAGAAACAAUACUGUCCCCCAACCCCCAAUAAGCAAGGCUUUUCAGCACCUGCUACGUGCAAGGCUACCAGUGGGCAAAAAAUAGAAAUCCGUUACAUUUAAGGGACCCUUUAAUGAAGCAUUUCUAGGAUUAUUGGCUCAGAGCCUCCUCUUGAUAACGCGGUGAGAUAGGCAAGGAAAAGAUAAUUCCCAUGGUAUAGAUUCAGAAAUGAAAGCUCAGAGAGAAAAAGCGACUUGCAUAUAAACAAGGAUUUAACGAGGUGGCUGGCGUAAGACAAAACUGUGAAGGUGGAGACAUGGAGACAGCACAAUAGAAAGAACACUGAUCGGUUAACACUGGGAUACUUCAGGAAGAGGUGCUUUCCACCAUGAUGGUGUUUCCUGAGGUCUUCCCUGCCACGUGGGACUAGUGUUACUCUCUCGCCCAAGUUGGAGUGCAGUGGCAAGAUCUUGGCUCACCAUAACCUCUGUCACCUGAGUUCAAGCAAUUCUCCUGCGUCAGCCUCCUGAGGAGCUGGAAUUACAGGCGCUCAACACCACACCUAACUAAUUUUUUUAUGUAUUUUUAGUAGAGGUAGGGUUUCACCAUGUUGGCCAGGCUGGUCUCGAACUCCUGAUUUCGUGAUCCACCCACCUCGGCCUCCCAAAGUGUUGAGAUUACAGGCGUGAGUUACUGCGCCUGGCCUGAAGUAACUAUCUUAAUAUGUUUGCAGAAUUAAAGAAAAUCAUAGACAAACAAUUAAGGGAAACCAGGAAAACUAUAUAUGAAAAAAAGAAAAUAUCAAUAUACAGAAAUUAUCUAAAAAGAACCCAGUGAAAUUCUGAAACCGAAAUGUAUGAUAACUAAAAUGAAAAAUUCAUCAAGGGGAUUCAAGAACAGAACAGGCAGAAGAAAAAAACUAGUAAAAUUGAAUAUUGGACAAUUAAAAUUAUCCAGUCUGAGGAACAAAAAGGAAAAAAAUGAAGAAAAGUGAAAAGAGCCAAAGGGUCUCCUAUAGGAGACCAUCACGGACCAACAAUUCAUUAUGGGGGUUGUGGAAUUAAAAAAAGAAAAGAAGGCACAUAAAGAAUAUUUGAAGAAAUAAUAGCCAGAUGCUUUCCAAAUUUGAUGAACUACAAGAAUCUACACAUCCAAGGAGCUCAGUAAACUCCAAGUAGAAUAAACUCAUAGAGAUGCGUGAAAUAUAGUGUAGUUGAACUAUCAAAAGUCCAACAGAAAGAGAAUCGUGAAAGCAGCAAGGGAAAAACAAUUUAUCAUAUACAAUAUUCUCAAUAAGAUUAACAGCUGAUUUCUUGUCAGAAAUCAGAGUCUAGAAAGCAGCAGGAUGACAUGUAAAGUGCUAAAAGAAAAAAAAAACCUGCCAAACAAGAAUUCCAUAUCCAGCAAACCUAUCCUUUAAGAGUGAAGUCGAAAUUAAGACAUUUCAAGGUAAAAACUAAGAAAGUUUGUUACUAAUAAACCUGCCCUAUAAGAAACGUUAAAGAGAAUGUUUUGAGCUAAAAUAAAAGAACACUAGACAGUAAUCCAAAUUCAUGUGAAGAAAUAAGGAACACUGGUAAAGGUAACUACCUAGGUAAAUAUAAAAAUCAAUAUUAUUUUACUUUUGGUUUGUAUCUAUUUUUUCCUGUUUGAUUUUAAAGGAAAAUGUAUGAAUAUUUAUAAAUUUAUGUUAAUGGGCACACAAUUUAUAAAGAUGCAAUGUGUGACAAUAACAAUAUAAAGAGAGUACAGAGAUGUAUAAAGGCAGAAUAUUUGUAUGUUAUUAAAAUUUA
Long non-coding RNA from Callithrix jacchus (white-tufted-ear marmoset), 2062 nucleotides. RefSeq lists it as uncharacterized. The record is from RefSeq and is a predicted model, not a curated record. NCBI's taxonomy places the organism in Eukaryota, Metazoa, Chordata, Mammalia, Primates, Cebidae.